This 236-nucleotide ribosomal RNA is filed under the name uncultured bacterium. RNAcentral describes it as "partial 16S ribosomal RNA". It matches the Rfam family "Bacterial small subunit ribosomal RNA", at positions 102 to 334 of the family's 1533-position model. The record is from RNAcentral.
ACGGGUGAGUAACACGUAUGCAAUCCACCUGUAACAGGGGGAUAACCCGGAGAAAUCCGGACUAAUACCCCAUAAUAUGGGCGCUCCGCAUGGAGAGCCCAUUAAAGAGAGCAAUUUUGGUUACAGACGAGCAUGCGCUCCAUUAGCCAGUUGGCGGGGUAACAGCCCACCAAAGCGACGAUGGAUAGGGGUUCUGAGAGGAAGGUCCCCCACAUUGGAACUGAGACACGGUCCAA